RNAcentral lists this ribosomal RNA (468 nucleotides) under uncultured bacterium. Its description in RNAcentral is "partial 16S ribosomal RNA". It matches the Rfam family "Bacterial small subunit ribosomal RNA", at positions 28 to 507 of the family's 1533-position model. The record is from RNAcentral.
GACGAACGCUGGCGGCGCGCUUAACACAUGCAAGUCGAACGGAAAGGCCCUGCUUUUGUGGGGUGCUCGAGUGGCGAACGGGUGAGUAACACGUGAGUAACCUGCCCUUGACUUUGGGAUAACUUCAGGAAACUGGGGCUAAUACCGGAUAGGAGCUCCUGCUGCAUGGUGGGGGUUGGAAAGUUUCGGCGGUUGGGGAUGGACUCGCGGCUUAUCAGCUUGUUGGUGGGGUAGUGGCUUACCAAGGCUUUGCCGGGUAGCCGGCUUGAGAGGGUGACCGGCCACAUCGGGACUGAGAUACGGCCCAGACUCCUACGGGAGGCAGCAGUGGGGAAUAUUGCACACUGGGCGGAAGCCUGAUGCAGCAACGCCGCGUGCGGGAUGACGGCCUUCGGGUUGUAAACCGCUUUCGCCUGUGACGAAGCGUGAGUGACGGUAAUGGGUAAAGAAGCACCGGCUAACUACGUG